This 1663-nucleotide long non-coding RNA is filed under the name Medicago truncatula (barrel medic). RNAcentral's name for it is "long non-coding RNA (MTRU_LNC003818)". The record is from RNAcentral. Lineage: Eukaryota; Viridiplantae; Streptophyta; Magnoliopsida; Fabales; Fabaceae.
UGCAAUUUUAAUAAAAAAUAAUAAUAAAUUAAUAAUGUAAAAAUGUUCAGAUACAUCAUACGGUUCUAGAAGAAUAUUAAUCCUAAUAAUAUGAAAGAAAGUGAAAUCAUGGUUCAAAAUAGAGAAACUGGAACAGUCAACACCUUUAUACAUAAAAAAAAAUAAUAAUAAAAACCUAGAAUCUUUUGUAACAAAAAAAAAACUAGAUUUUUCUAGACAAAAAGAAAACAAUAUAAAGAGAUAGAGAGAGAUAAUAGGGUUUGGUUUACUAUAUGAAGUAGUAGGAGAGUUUGUAUGAGAUUAGAUAUCGAAGUUUUAUUAAAUCUGGGGGCCGGGGUUCAUGGUGAUGUGUAGAGGAUGGUGAAGAUAUAUGUGGCAAUGUGUUUGGUUUCACUACUCUCUAUAUUUUCUCUUCUCUUAUUUCCUCUCUUUUCUUUUGGACUCUCCUUCUCUUUUAUUCCCCUAGCCUUGAUUUAUGGUUACUAUUUAUAAGGUAAAUUAGGUUAAAGGCAUUAGGAAGAUGCCAAUUGGAAAAGGGUGGAGAGGUGGUUACAAAAAGUUAGAGAUUUAGAGCAGAGCAUCUAUUGAAAGCUCAAAAUGGUAAAAGGUAAAAAGCAAUGAGAAAGAAAAAAAAUGGGAGCAUGUUCAAAUUGUUUUGUAAGGAGAUGUUUGUGACAAAAUUGCAUGUGAAAAAUACAAACAAAAAAAACAUUGCAUGUGAAAAUCAUAGCGGUGUGAGCUAAAAAUGGAGAAAGGAAAAUCAAAUGGUAAAGAGAAUUUGGAAUGAUGCUAGAAUAUAAGAAAUAAGAAUCCUUUGGAGUGUAUUUGAUGUAGUGUGCUCCAAAGAGGCUACAACCACUUUGCUACUCUAAUUUGUUUUGUUUUUAUCAUUUUGUACUUUUGUUUUAUAAUUACUAAAUAUGGUCCUCAAAUAAAAUUUUCAUUCAACUACUAACAAAUGGAAUAUGAAAAAGGAAAAUAGAGAAAAAAACAUGUUAUGAAAAUCAAAGAGAUAAUUUUCACCAGGAUAUAAAUCUUGAGGUUGUCGCGGUGCCUCCUUCUAUAUCUCAACCUCCUUCCUUAUGUUGGGGCUCAUAUGCUGCCUUUGACACUUGAGACGCUCCGAGUCUAUCACGUAUGACCUUUGCCUAGACAAGACUUUUGUGGUCGUCCUGUUGCCUCUAACACGACUGGGGUAUGCCUCCAUAACUGAAACAAAUCAAAAUACAAAAACCGAUCAAUAUAUUAAAGAAAGUUUUGAGAUAAGUCAAAAUUCAUCAUAACUAACUUCGUCUCGUAUUUUAUAAAUCAAAUUCGUUAAUAAUGCAUUUCGAUUUAAAAAAUCUCAAAAUAUUGAACGCCAGUAGAAAAAAAUCAAACAAACCAAUGAAUGUUUGAGCAAAUGAGAUCUAACAUUUGUUUAGUGGUGGGAAAUGUCUCAAAAACAAUGGGUUUAAGUAACUUGACUUUAAAAAUGACAUACUUUAGCAAGAUUCAAAUAUUGGGGAGGUUGAGAGUUUUUUAGGGCAAAUAUCGUAACUAAUGAAAUAGGGGGAAGGAAGUUUAGCCCGACUUAUAUAUCAACAUGGUUCAUAUUCUAUAAUCCGAAAAUGUGUUUUCUUUUUAUAUAUAUUUUUUAGAUUAUAGAAUCCAAGAAUAAAAU